Molecule: ribosomal RNA, 483 nt
Filed under: uncultured bacterium
Lineage: Bacteria
Description: bacterial SSU rRNA
Rfam family: Bacterial small subunit ribosomal RNA
Source: RNAcentral
CUACGUGCCAGCAGCCGCGGUAAUACGGAAGGUCCAGGCGUUAUCCGGAUUUAUUGGGUUUAAAGGGAGCGUAGGCCGUGGAUUAAGCGUGUUGUGAAAUGUAGACGCUCAACGUCUGAAUUGCAGCGCGAACUGGUUCACUUGAGUAUGCACAACGUAGGCGGAAUUCGUCGUGUAGCGGUGAAAUGCUUAGAUAUGACGAAGAACUCCGAUUGCGAAGGCAGCUUACGGGAGCACAACUGACGCUGAAGCUCGAAGGUGCGGGUAUCAAACAGGAUUAGAUACCCUGGUAGUCCGCACAGUAAACGAUGGAUGCCCGUUGUUAGUUCACUUAAGAAUUAGCGACCAAGCGAAAGCAUUAAGCAUCCCACCUGGGGAGUACGCCGGCAACGGUGAAACUCAAAGGAAUUGACGGGGGCCCGCACAAGCGGAGGAACAUGUGGUUUAAUUCGAUGAUACGCGAGGAACCUUACCCGGGCUUGA